Molecule: transfer RNA, 87 nt
Filed under: Candidatus Giovannonibacteria bacterium RIFCSPHIGHO2_01_FULL_45_23
Lineage: Bacteria; Candidatus Giovannoniibacteriota
Also listed under: 2 other names
Description: tRNA-Ser
Rfam family: tRNA
About the family: Transfer RNA (tRNA) molecules are approximately 80 nucleotides in length. Their secondary structure includes four short double-helical elements and three loops (D, anti-codon, and T loops).
Source: RNAcentral
GGAAGCGUGGCUGAGCGGUUGAAGGCGCCGGUCUCGAAAACCGGUAUACCCGCAAGGGUAUCGGAGGUUCGAAUCCUCCCGCUUCCG